This 1820-nucleotide long non-coding RNA is filed under the name Citrus sinensis (sweet orange). Its description in RNAcentral is "long non-coding RNA (CSIN_LNC004727)". Lineage: Eukaryota; Viridiplantae; Streptophyta; Magnoliopsida; Sapindales; Rutaceae. The record is from RNAcentral.
UUUAAUAAUCAUUUUACCUUCUUUUCCUGCCAAAUUUUCAAAUAUGUUAUUUAAGGAGAGUCCUUCCUCUAAAAUACCAUUUUUCUUUAGUAUAUCAAUUUUGCCUGGACUUUGCAGUUUAGAAGUUUCUUCAUUUUGUUUAUUUUCUCGUCUGAUUCAGGCACUUUGAGGCAGUUGAGGCCAGGUUUCUUCGUGCAUCAUUUUCUGCUUUUGUAGAUGUGCUUACGCUCGCGACAAAAACAAUCGAACAGUUUGGUCAAGGAAUGGAAUUAUAACAUUGUACUGUCUUUGGCAGUUGGUGAAUCAUUCUGAGUAGGAACUGUAUUACUUUAAUAUGCCUUCUUGUUUUGGAUUAGUUGACGUUUUUGUAACAAGAGAAUCUAUAGUGUUAGUUUUACAAUUUAAAUCUUAAAAUAUGGGAAAGCUGUAACAAAUUCUUCAAAGCUGUGAAUUAUAUUUUGAAAGAAUUAGCAAGGCUGACAAUUAGCAACAAUUUUCUGCAUACAUUUUAUCUUGGGCAGAAUCCUCAAAAGUAGAUGCAUCUUUAAAUCUAGAAUAAAAGCAGGUUUGACUUGUAUUAUAAGAAAUUCAAAUGGGGUGUCACGGCUGCUUCCAUCACUAGGAAAACUUGCUUAGAAAAUAUGGAGAUUGCUGAAUGCUUUGGCAAUUCUUGAUGGCAUCAAAAUGGUAGUUGAUUCUGGACUGCACCCACCACUAACUGUUGAAUCUGACUAUUUUAAUGCAGUGAAAUCAAUCUUAAAGAAGAGAGGAAUGCUCAGUUAUGUAACAAAAGGGAAACAACUUAUAGUCGCAAUACACUCAUCAAUAAUCUCAGGAACCUCUGAUUAUUGAAUUACAAUUUUUUAAAAUCCAUUCCAGAAUACAAGCAUACCUGUCCAAGCAAGAUACUCGAUGCUCUACAUCCGAAACUUCAUCAACCUUUGCAUCUAAGAGAUCAUUAACCUUACAAGUCACAGACCCAAAUGGUCCACAGUAUUGACAGAGCUUUGAUGGCAUAAUCUUUCAAUGUUUCCACCACUCUGCAUAAAUGUGAAGAUGGUUUAUUUUCUCAAUAGAAAAUUGAAAUUAUCAGCUGUAAUUAGAGCAACUCACAUUUGUUUUUUGGUCAUCACUGGUGUCAACUCACAUUUGUUUUUGGUCAUCACUGGUGUACCAUAGUUCAAGAUUUUCGGCCUCUGAGUAUAACACUGUUCUCAGGUUUUUCAAAUCCUGAAAGUUGCUUGAGUUAAAAAAAGACCAAAGUAAAUAUUUCCAUAAGAACUCAAAUCUAUUACAAAUUGGUGCUUUUGUAUUUCCAUAAAUGGCUAUCUACUCCAAGGCUUGUGGAAAACUGAGUAAAAUUUGGAAAUUGACACACGAUCCCCCGUUUGAAUCAUAUAAACAAGUAUCGCAUGAUUAAACAAGAAUUGGCUUUGAAGGCAUAUGCCCCUAUUUGCCACAAUAAUUUUUUUUCUCUUUUUCUUUUCUUAAAAGUGAAUGCCGAGGUGGGUGCAACUUUUAGUAAUAGCUAUUAGUAGCACAAAACAAAGAUUGCACGCUGUAAAACAACUGUAAUAGGGAAACUCGUAUAGGCAUCUAAUCCAGCAGAUUAAAACAAAAUAGAGAAACAGUAGUACCUUGAGACUAUCAGAGAACAGCAAGCUCUGCUGCCUUACGCUCGCGACAAAAACAAUCGAACAGUUUGGUCAAGGAAUGGAAUUAUAACAUUGUACUGUCUUUGGCAGUUGGUGAAUCAUUCUGAGUAGGAACUGUAUUACUUUAAUAUGCCUUCUUGUUUUGGAUUAGUUGACGUUUUUGUA